Phrynosoma platyrhinos (Desert horned lizard) is the source of this 68-nucleotide non-coding RNA. The record is from the annotation of a GenBank genome assembly. NCBI's taxonomy places the organism in Eukaryota, Metazoa, Chordata, Lepidosauria, Squamata, Phrynosomatidae.
GGCAUGGUGUAGUGGUUUGAAAUUAGACUACAACUCUGCAUACUAGGGUUCAAUUCCCUUCUCAGCCA